AGAGAGAGAGAGAGAAAGACAGAGAGCGAGAGAGAGAGAGAGAGAGAGAGAGAGAGAGAGAGAGAGAGAGAGAGAAACAGAGAGCGAGAGUAAAAAGUAAAAACAAGCAGGUUCUCAUGACAAUGAAAGAAUGAGGAAUUCCUCUGACCUAUGAUUUCAACACUCAUAUUCCUCCUAAUUUCAACUCGUUACCGGCUAAACACAAUCCAUUAAGAUUGACAGACAGACAAAAGAGAACGAGAGAGAAAAAAAAGAAAGAGAGAGCGAGAGAGAAUGUCAGAUCCACUGGAUAUGUCAGUGUGUAGGGGCUAAAACCUUUAUCUAUGCACACACAUGUAGGCCUGAAUGUACACACACACACAGGUGACAACAGACAGUAAAGAAGUUGACAACAGACAGUAAAGAAGUUGACAAAAGACAGUAAAGAAGGUGACAACAGACAGUAAAGAAGAAGUUGACAACAGACAGUUAAAUAAGAAGGUGACAACAGACAGUAAAGAAGUUGACAACAGGCAGUAAAGAAGUUGACAACAGACAGUAAAAUAAGGUGACAACAGACAGUAAAAGAAGAAGUUGACAACAGACAGUAAAGAAGUUGACAACAGACAUUAAAUAAGGUGACAACAGACAGUAAAGAAGAAGGUGACAACAGACAGUAAAGAAGAAGCUGACAACAGACAGUAAAGAAGAAGGUGACAACAGACAGUAAAAAAGAAGGUGACAACAGACAGUAAAGAAGAAGGUGACAACAGACAGUAAAGAAGAAGCUGACAACAGACAGUAAAGAAGCUGACAACAGGCAGUAAAAGAAGACGGUGACAACAGACAGUAAAGAAGUUGACAACAGACAGUAAAAGAAGAAGGUGACAACAGACAGUAAAAUAAGGUGACAACAGACAGUAAAGAAGAGAAAAGGUCAUAUAAGGCAGCACAGGAAGGUAAACGGCC
Molecule: long non-coding RNA, 948 nt
Filed under: Salmo salar (Atlantic salmon)
Lineage: Eukaryota; Metazoa; Chordata; Actinopteri; Salmoniformes; Salmonidae
Description: lncRNA (ENSSSAG00000082997.1)
Source: RNAcentral